CCUACGGGAGGCAGCAGUGGGGAAUAUUGCACAAUGGGGGAAACCCUGAUGCAGCGACGCCGCGUGAGUGAAGAAGUAAUUCGUUAUGUAAAGCUCUAUCAGCAGGGAAGAAAAUGACGGUACCUGAGUAAGAAGCCCCGGCUAACUACGUGCCAGCAGCCGCGGUAAUACGUAGGGGGCCAGCGUUAACCGGAUUUACUGGGUGGAAAGGGAGCGUAGACGGCAGUGCAAGUCUGGAGUGAAAGGCGGGGGCUCAACCCCCGGACUGCUCUGGAAACUGUACGGCUGGAGUGCAGGAGAGGUAAGUGGAAUUCCUAGUGUAGCGGUGAAAUGCGUAGAUAUUAGGAGGAACACCAGUGGCGAAGGCGGCUUACUGGACUGUAACUGACGUUGAGGCUCGAAAGCAUGGGGAGCAAACAGGAUUAGAUACCCGGGUAGUC
This 440-nucleotide ribosomal RNA is filed under the name uncultured bacterium. RNAcentral's name for it is "partial 16S ribosomal RNA". It matches the Rfam family "Bacterial small subunit ribosomal RNA", at positions 338 to 795 of the family's 1533-position model. The record is from RNAcentral.